GACGAACGCUGGCGGCGUGCUUAACACAUGCAAGUCGAACGCAGAGGCCCUGCCUUUGUUCGGUGCACGAGUGGCGAACGGGUGAGUAACACGUGAGUAACCUGCCCUUUACUUUGGGAUAACUUCAGGAAACUGGGGCUAAUACCGCAUAGUAGCUCCUGCUGCAUGAUGGUGGUUGGAAAGUUUCGGCGGCUGGGGUAGGACGUGCGGCUUAUCAGCUUGUAGGUGAGGUAGUGGAUUACCAAGGCUUUGACGGGUAGCCGCCCUGAGAGGGUGACCGGGCACAGUGGGACAGGGGUGGGGGCCAGAGGGCAACGGGAGGAAGGGGUGGAGGAUAUUGCGCAAUGGGCCGAAGGAGUAAGGAGCAAUGUCGGGUGGUGGAGGUCGGCUGUCGGGGUGGAAAGCGCGUGAGCGUGGGACGAAGAGUGAGUGACGGUAAUGGGUAAGAAAGCGCCGGCUAACUACGUG
Molecule: ribosomal RNA, 468 nt
Filed under: uncultured bacterium
Lineage: Bacteria
Description: partial 16S ribosomal RNA
Rfam family: Bacterial small subunit ribosomal RNA
Source: RNAcentral